GGGACCAUCCUCCAAGGCUAAAUACUCCUGACUGACCGAUAGUGAACCAGUACCGUGAGGGAAAGGCGAAAAGAACCCCGGCGAGGGGAGUGAAAAAGAACCUGAAACCGUGUACGUACAAGCAGUGGGAGCACAGAGCAAUCUGUGUGACUGCGUACCUUUUGUAUAAUGGGUCAGCGACUUAUAUUCUGUAGCAAGGUUAACCGAAUAGGGGAGCCGAAGGGAAACCGAGUCUUAACUGGGCGUUAAGUUGCAGGGUAUAGACCCGAAACCCGGUGAUCUAGCCAUGGGCAGGUUGAAGGUUGGGUAACACUAACUGGAGGACCGAACCGACUAAUGUUGAAAAAUUAGCGGAUGACUUGUGGCUGGGGGUGAAAGGCCAAUCAAACCGGGAGAUAGCUGGUUCUCCCCGAAAGCUAUUUAGGUAGCGCCUCGUGAAUUCAUCUCCGGGGGUAGAGCACUGUUUCGGCAAGGGGGUCAUCCCGACUUACCAACCCGAUGCAAACUGCGAAUACCGGAGAAUGUUAUCACGGGAGACACACGGCGGGUGCUAACGUCCGUCGUGAAGAGGGAAACAACCCAGACCGCCAGCUAAGGUCCCAAAGUCAUGGUUAAGUGGGAAACGAUGUGGGAAGGCCCAGACAGCCAGGAUGUUGGCUUAGAAGCAGCCAUCAUUUAAAGAAAGCGUAAUAGCUCACUGGUCGAGUCGGCCUGCGCGGAAGAUGUAACGGGGCUAAACCAUG
RNAcentral lists this ribosomal RNA (743 nucleotides) under Escherichia coli. RNAcentral describes it as "partial 23S ribosomal RNA". It matches the Rfam family "Bacterial large subunit ribosomal RNA", at positions 449 to 1191 of the family's 2925-position model. The record is from RNAcentral. Lineage: Bacteria; Pseudomonadati; Pseudomonadota; Gammaproteobacteria; Enterobacterales; Enterobacteriaceae.